GGCGAACGGGUGCGUAACACGUGGGCAAUCUGCCGAGAAGUGGGGGAUAGCUCGCCGAAAGGCGAAUUAAUACCGCAUACGAUCAGGGAGGACAUCCUCUCGACAUCAAAGCCGGGGCAACCUGGCGCUACUCGAUGAGCCCGCGGCUAUCAGCUAGUUGGUGAGGUAACGGCUCACCAAGGCGAUGACGGGUAGCUGGUCUGAGAGGACGACCAGCCACACUGGAACUGAGACACGGUCCAGACACCUACGGGUGGCAGCAGUCGAGAAUUUUUCUCAAUGGGGGCAACCCUGAAGGAGCGACGCCGCGUGGAGGAUGAAGGCUUUCGGGUUGUAAACUCCUGUCAUUUGGGAACAAGGUAGCGCGGUUAACUGCCGCGUUAUUGAUAGUACCAGAAGAGGAAGAGACGGCUAACUCUGUGCCAGCCGCCGCGG
RNAcentral lists this ribosomal RNA (435 nucleotides) under uncultured bacterium. Its description in RNAcentral is "bacterial SSU rRNA". It matches the Rfam family "Bacterial small subunit ribosomal RNA", at positions 97 to 520 of the family's 1533-position model. The record is from RNAcentral.